This 600-nucleotide ribosomal RNA is filed under the name Trichoderma asperellum. RNAcentral describes it as "eukaryotic LSU rRNA". The stretch from base 210 to 363 matches the Rfam family "5.8S ribosomal RNA". Lineage: Eukaryota; Fungi; Ascomycota; Sordariomycetes; Hypocreales; Hypocreaceae. The record is from RNAcentral.
UUGGUGGGAGGGGCCCACGGAGAUCUUACGAGUUUCAACUCCCAACCCAAUGUGAACGUUACCAAACUGUUGCCUCGGCGGGGUCACGCCCCGGGUGCGUCGCAGCCCCGGAACCAGGCGCCCGCCGGAGGAACCAACCAAACUCUUUCUGUAGUCCCCUCGCGGACGUAUUUCUUUACAGCUCUGAGCAAAAAUUCAAAAUGAAUCAAAACUUUCAACAACGGAUCUCUUGGUUCUGGCAUCGAUGAAGAACGCAGCGAAAUGCGAUAAGUAAUGUGAAUUGCAGAAUUCAGUGAAUCAUCGAAUCUUUGAACGCACAUUGCGCCCGCCAGUAUUCUGGCGGGCAUGCCUGUCCGAGCGUCAUUUCAACCCUCGAACCCCUCCGGGGGAUCGGCGUUGGGGAUCGGGACCCCUCACACGGGUGCCGGCCCCUAAAUACAGUGGCGGUCUCGCCGCAGCCUCUCCUGCGCAGUAGUUUGCACAACUCGCACCGGGAGCGCGGCGCGUCCACGUCCGUAAAACACCCAACUUUCUGAAAUGUUGACCUCGGAUCAGGUAGGAAUACCCGCUGAACUUAAGCAUAUCAAUUAAGCGGAGGAA